This 1521-nucleotide ribosomal RNA is filed under the name Triticum aestivum (bread wheat). RNAcentral describes it as "partial small subunit ribosomal RNA". The record is from RNAcentral. Lineage: Eukaryota; Viridiplantae; Streptophyta; Magnoliopsida; Poales; Poaceae.
AUGGAGGUGCUAAUUAGUUUAUGCCUCGUAGCCCUUGCCACGGUGUUGGUCUGUUGGCUUCUCAACCUCAAAGCUUCCUCUGGUGGUCGAAGCACGGCCAAGCAGGAGCUGCCUCCCGGACCAUGGACGCUUCCGAUCAUCGGCAGCCUCCACCACGUCCUCAGCCUCCUCCCACACCGCACCAUUACAAAGCUGUCUCGCCGGCAUGGGCCAAUGAUGCUCCUGAAGCUAGGGGAGGUCUCCACGGUGAUCGUUUCCAGCGCCGAGGGGGCAGCGCUGGUGAUGAAGACCAACGACCUCGCGCUCGCAGGGCGGCCCUGUAGCGUGACGCUGGACAUCGCUGGCCGUGGCGGGAAGGGCCUCCUCUUCGCCCCCUACGGCGACCACUGGCGCCAGAUGCGCAAGCUGUGUGUCGUGGAGCUCCUCAGCUCCAAGCAGGUCAAACGCAUGGAGGGCAUCCGGGCCAAGGAGGUCGGCGACCUCGUCCGCUCCAUCACCGCCUCUGCCGGUGCUACCGUCAACAUCAGCGAGAUGGUGGCCGCGCUCAGCAAUGACGUCAUCUCGCAGGCAGUUUUCGGGGGCAAGUUCCCACAGCAGGAAGAGUACCUCCGCGAGUUGGACGAGGUGUUCCGCCUGCUGGGUGGCUUCUGCCUCGUCGACCUCUUCCCGUCAUCACCGUUAUCACGGUGGCUGAGCAAUGGCGAGCGCCACAUGAAGAGGAGCUGUGGCCGCAUCCAUCAGAUAAUCGCUGAGAUUAUCAAGGGGCGCAAAGAGUCGCUGGAUCCCGGCAAUGGUGCCACCGACGACGAGGAUCUCCUUGACGUGCUGCUCAGGCUGCAGGAGGAGGCCUCGUUGGCAUUCCCUCUAACGACAGACACUAUAGGCGCCGUCUUGUUUGACAUGUUUGCAGCGGGCACAGAAAGCACAUCCACCGUUUUGGAGUGGACUAUGUCGGAACUGGUGAUUCAUCCGGAAGCUAUGGCUAAGGCACAACAAGAGGUUCGGCAGGUCCUAGGUGAAAAAAGGGCUAUAAUUACUAACAGAGACCUUGGAGAACUCCACUACCUACGGAUGGUCAUCAAAGAAGUUCUUAGAUUGCAUCCACCUGGUCCGUUAGUCCCCCGCCAUUCCAGAGAGGACUGUAAGAUGAUGGGUUACAACAUUCUCAAAGGCACCAAUGUGUAUGUUAAUGUGUUUGGAAUUUCUAGAGAUCCAACAUACUGGAAAAACCCUGAAGAGUUUAAGCCGGAGAGAUUUGAAAACAACAACAUAGAUUACAAUGGGACAUACUUUGAAUACACCCCCUUUGGAUCUGGGCGACGGCUGUGCCCAGGAAUGUUGUUCAGCACGUCGACCUUGGACAUCGUAUUGGCCAACCUAUUAUAUCACUUCAACUGGAUACUUCCUGAUGGAGCUUCACUUGACAUGUCCGAGAAAUUCGGGCUGACGGUAAGCAAAAAGUAUGACCUGAAACUCAGAGCCGUUCCACACAUGUGGAACUAUGAAGUUCAGUCGAAGUGA